RNAcentral lists this long non-coding RNA (563 nucleotides) under Mustela putorius furo (domestic ferret). Its description in RNAcentral is "lncRNA (ENSMPUG00000026805.1)". The record is from RNAcentral. Lineage: Eukaryota; Metazoa; Chordata; Mammalia; Carnivora; Mustelidae.
GUUCCUUUGCCAUCUGACCAGAGUGUAUCUGCAGAGCACCAAGCUACCCUGCUUCCCUGUCCCUUUUUGACCUUUUUACUUAGAGUGGUAGUCAUCUCUAAGAGCAUGUGACUCAGGGUGCGUAAUGUCAGGGAUCAGGCUGAACUAUUACAGACACAGUGGUUUAGCAGCCAAGGAGCAGUUCCUCUGACUCAGGCUGCCCAGGGUUUUCUGAGGAUUCAUUCUCAGGCAACUUUGCCACUCUGACGGUAAUAGCUUCAUAACCCCAAGGAGAAAUUCUGAAUUACAACAUGGCAAGAUCCAGGACAGGUCCUGACAAUGAGAAGCGACUUCAGCCACCUGUAACGUACCAGAUCCAUAAAGAGAAGCCUGACAGUUCACCAGGGAGAGAAGUGAUACCUGUCCUCAUAUUUGCUGGCAGCUGUUUUGCAGUAGAAGAGCCAGCCAUUCACCUCUCUGACAGGAACAGAGCACAAGAUUAAAUUUUUUCAUACUUUACAAAAAGGGUAUUUCAACAGAAAAUUGAUAUAAUGCUUUUUAUGAAAAGAAAUCUCACAUUUGGC